This 243-nucleotide long non-coding RNA is filed under the name Arachis ipaensis. Its description in RNAcentral is "long non-coding RNA (AIPA_LNC002523)". Lineage: Eukaryota; Viridiplantae; Streptophyta; Magnoliopsida; Fabales; Fabaceae. The record is from RNAcentral.
GGCCGAAAUCAAUGCAAAUUCAGAUUCAACAAGCAAUUUAGCAACAAAUCCAACAACAGAUCACAAAUUCAAUUUCACAAGAUCAGUUCACAAAUCAACAAAUCCAGAAUAUGAAAUUGACGAAGAAGAAGAAUCAGAUUUCAAUUUUGAAUUUCAACCACAACAACAAUAUGAAGAAUUAGACAGAAAUUGCAGAUCAAGCACGAAUUCAAAAUUCAAAUCCAGAAAUUCAAUAAAAAAUAA